GUCGCCGCACACAGGCCACACGCGACAGCCACAAACGCCGUUUUAAGCUAGUCUAUUGGUCGUAAAGUAAAUCGUUGUAGCCUUAGACCAAUUUUUUU
Molecule: long non-coding RNA, 98 nt
Organism: Aricia agestis (brown argus)
Lineage: Eukaryota; Metazoa; Arthropoda; Insecta; Lepidoptera; Lycaenidae
Exons: 3
Source: RefSeq, a predicted model, not a curated record